GAUCAUGGCUCAGGAUGAACGCUGGCGGCGUUGCUUAACACAUGCAAGUCGAACGAAGACAUCUGAGUGCUUGCACUUGGAUGGACUGAGUGGCGGACGGGUGAGUAACGCGUGGGUAACCUGCCUUAUACAGGGGGAUAACAGUUGGAAACGACUGCUAAUACCGCAUAAGCGCACGGUAUCGCAUGAUACAGUGUGAAAAACUCCGGUGGUAUAAGAUGGACCCGCGUCUGAUUAGCUUGUUGGUGAGGUAACGGCCCACCAAGGCGACGAUCAGUAGCCGGCCUGAGAGGGUGAACGGCCACAUUGGGACUGAGACACGGCCCAAACUCCUACGGGAGGCAGCAGUGGGGAAUAUUGCACAAUGGGGGAAACCCUGAUGCAGCGACGCCGCGUGAGUGAAGAAGUAUUUCGGUAUGUAAAGCUCUAUCAGCAGGGAAGAAGAAAUGACGGUACCUGACUAAGAAGCCCCGGCUAACUACGUG
RNAcentral lists this ribosomal RNA (485 nucleotides) under uncultured bacterium. Its description in RNAcentral is "bacterial SSU rRNA". It matches the Rfam family "Bacterial small subunit ribosomal RNA", at positions 15 to 507 of the family's 1533-position model. The record is from RNAcentral.